RNAcentral lists this ribosomal RNA (253 nucleotides) under uncultured bacterium. RNAcentral's name for it is "partial 16S ribosomal RNA". It matches the Rfam family "Bacterial small subunit ribosomal RNA", at positions 524 to 776 of the family's 1533-position model. The record is from RNAcentral.
UACGGAGGGGACUAGCGUUGUUCGGAAUUACUGGGCGUAAAGCGCACGUAGGCGGAUCUGUAAGUCAGGGGUGAAAUCCCGGGGCUCAACCUCGGAACUGCCUUUGAUACUGUAAAUCUCGAGUCCGGAAGAGGUGAGUGGAAUUCCUAGUGUAGAGGUGAAAUUCGUAGAUAUUAGGAAGAACACCAGUGGCGAAGGCGGCUCACUGGUCCGGUACUGACGCUGAGGUGCGAAAGCGUGGGGAGCAAACAGG